This 136-nucleotide ribosomal RNA is filed under the name uncultured bacterium. Its description in RNAcentral is "partial 16S ribosomal RNA". It matches the Rfam family "Bacterial small subunit ribosomal RNA", at positions 355 to 507 of the family's 1533-position model. The record is from RNAcentral.
UAAGGAAUAUUGCACAAUGGGCGCAAGCCUGAUGCAGCAACGCCGCGUGCCGGAUGAAGGUCUUCGGAUCGUAAACGGCUUUUGUGAGGGACGAGCAAGGACGGUACCUCACGAAUAAGUCUCGGCUAACUACGUG